RNAcentral lists this ribosomal RNA (521 nucleotides) under uncultured bacterium. RNAcentral describes it as "bacterial SSU rRNA". It matches the Rfam family "Bacterial small subunit ribosomal RNA", at positions 11 to 518 of the family's 1533-position model. The record is from RNAcentral.
GUUGAUCCUGGCUUAGAUGAACGCUGGCGGCGUGCUUAACACAUGCAAGUCGCGCGUGAAAGGACUUCGGUCCGAGUAAAGCGGCGCACGGGUGAGUAACGCGUGGAUGAUCUACCCAUGAGUUAGGAAUAACGGCUGGAAACGGUCGCUAAUACCAAAUACGCUCCGAUUUCAACUUCGGGGGGAAAGGUGGCCUCUGCUUGCAAGCUACUGCUCAUGGAUGAGUCCGCGUCCCAUUAGCUAGUUGGUGGGGUAACGGCCCACCAAGGCGACGAUGGGUAGCCGGUCUGAGAGGAUGACCGGCCACACUGGGACUGGAACACGGCCCAGACUCCUACGGGAGGCAGCAGUGGGGAAUAUUGCGCAAUGGGCGAAAGCCUGACGCAGCGACGCCGCGUGAGGGAUGAAGGUCCUCGGAUCGUAAACCUCUGUCAGGAGGGAAGAACCGCCACGGUGCUAAUCAGCCGUGGUCUGACGGUACCUCCAAAGGAAGCACCGGCUAACUCCGUGCCAGCCGCUGC